This 301-nucleotide ribosomal RNA is filed under the name uncultured bacterium. RNAcentral describes it as "partial 16S ribosomal RNA". It matches the Rfam family "Bacterial small subunit ribosomal RNA", at positions 509 to 809 of the family's 1533-position model. The record is from RNAcentral.
CAGCCGCCGCGGGAAAACGUAGGGUGCAAGCGUUAAUCGGAAUUACUGGGCGUAAAGCGUGCGCAGGCGGUUUUGUAAGACAGAGGUGAAAUCCCCGGGCUCAACCUGGGAACUGCCUUUGUGACUGCAAGGCUAGAGUACGGCAGAGGGGGAUGGAAUUCCGCGUGUAGCAGUGAAAUGCGUAGAUAUGCGGAGGAACACCGAUGGCGAAGGCAAUCCCCUGGGCCUGUACUGACGCUCAUGCACGAAAGCGUGGGGAGCAAACAGGAUUAGAUACCCCUGUAGUCCCUGUCUCUUAUAU